AAUCACCACACAUGUCACUACCGAUAACACAUCAAUGCUGGCUCAGUGAUGAUGUCAUCUUUACGGCUCAGACCUGUUCAUGAAAAGAAGCACAUUUCAUUGGUAGAAGCGUUUUUCCCACGGUUACGGCAUGCUGCACUUUAUUCUGAUUGCAGAGGAGUGGAACGACACCGAGGCUCUGUGUUUGUGCACUGGUGAUGGGUGGCUCAUCGUCUGCAGUGAAUGAGCUGAUGAAGAGUCUGAGUCCUCGCCGGCCUGCCCGGAGUACUGUUACAGAUCAGGUGACUCCUCGGGGCUGAGCUGGGACGUGGGUGGAGGAGGCACCGUCUCUCGGAGCGUUUAAAAGAAGGGCUCGGCGUCCGAUCCGUCUCCUGAGCCAACAGCAAGCAGGAGCGAUGAGAAGUUCGGACGCAGCCGUGCACAGAAAACACGAUCGGUUCGAUUUAAAGAGGAGCAGGAAGUCCGGGCGCUGGGGUCUGCCUGUCAGCGAGGGGACGAGUCAGACUCUGGAGAGCAGCGUCCAGCGGAUCAACAGAUCAUCUUCUAAACUUCACACCGUGAGCAGGUUAACCACGGGUCAAAGGUCAUCACAAACAGGCCAAUCUGAGCUGAAACAGGCCGCUAACAUCCCUCUGCCGCCCAUCAGGGGCUCCAGACCCGUCGGCGGCAGAGGAGAAGUCCCUGCAGCUCCGCCUGCCAUCAGAAAUACGAUCCUUCAUGUGUUUGUGGCAAAGCGGGGGAAACCAAUCCAGAAAUCGGACAGACUCAGCGAAAUCCACGGCAGACCGGCGCUCGCUGAGCGGCUGGAACAGCAGAAGAGUGAUGACAUCAUUGGUGUGGACGGUGGCCGUGCGACGACGAUGCUGGUCACGGUUAAAGAUGAUGGCGGCGCCUGUGAGGAGCGGCGGCAGCAGAGAGAGUUCUGCUCCGAUGACUCAGCUGCUGAAACAUUAUCUGAGGACUCAGAGGUCAGAGGUCAUGUAGAGACACCGGAGGAGGAGGAUGGCAGUGAUGACGAGUACUACAGCGAGGAGAGGAUCACAGAGUGGAUCCUCCAGGUCAACUCGAGCCUCUUCUCUACAGGAAACACUCAGAGAGGCGCCGAGUCUGCAGAGGAGCGAGACGUGGCCACCAUAAAGAUCAUCUACAGCGGAGACUGAACUCCCAGCUCAGCCUCUUCCUCCUCCUCAUCAGCCUGGACCUCCUUUCACAGGACGCACACAACCAGGGAGGAGCCUGAGGUCCUCGAGGAGCAACGCUGGCAAAAAUACAGAAAAAGUUUCAGCAAAUAGAACAGCUGUAAUCUGGGACACUGGUGAUACCAGCUCCAAUUCACUUUCAUUCAAAUUCAUGCAUAUAAACAAAUAACUGUACAUGAGUAACUUAAACUUGUUACUGUGGCCCACCUGCAGUACCAUCGCAGCCCACCGGGGGGGGGGGGGGCACAGUGCAUUAAUUUAAAUAAAUGGAAUCAACCUGGACGAGUGUCAGCAGAUCCUUUCAGAUCCCACCGAGGCUUUGCUCCAACCAGUGUUCUUCAUCAGAAACAGAGCUUUUGAUUGGUUAGUGAUGUCCUGGGCUGAACGUUUCUCUGUAGCUUCUGCGCAGGUUGAAUUCCCACAAUCCUUUUCUGUGUGCCACCAGAGAGCAGGAGCAUAAAUCCUGCAUACAUGGGGCAUAAAUCAGUUCUAUUAAAUAUUAUUUAUAUAGCGUUAAAUGAACAUCAGCUUUUAUUCACUGAGCCUCAAGUGAGAGACUAACCCGGCUCGGUCAUUCUCACCUGAUUUUCUCGAUGGGCGGGGUUAGUGCUGAUGACUCGAACUGCGAUCUCGUCCUAAUCUCAACAAUACGAAGAAAAAAAGACCGAAUUUAAUUAUCAGAUAAAAAAUAACUGUCCGUUAUCUACGUUCACUUAUCCUAACAUCAGCCUGUUUCACCUGGCUGAGUUCACCCAGGG
Long non-coding RNA from Oreochromis aureus, 1957 nucleotides. The record is from Ensembl. NCBI's taxonomy places the organism in Eukaryota, Metazoa, Chordata, Actinopteri, Cichliformes, Cichlidae.